This 253-nucleotide ribosomal RNA is filed under the name uncultured bacterium. RNAcentral's name for it is "partial 16S ribosomal RNA". It matches the Rfam family "Bacterial small subunit ribosomal RNA", at positions 524 to 776 of the family's 1533-position model. The record is from RNAcentral.
UACAGAGGCCUCGAGCGUUAGGCGGAAUCACUGGGCUUAAAGCGUGUGUAGGUGGAUGCCUAAGUACCUUGUGAAAUCCCACAGCUUAACUGUGGAAUUGCUUGGUAUACUGGGUGUCUUGAGCCACUCAGGGGCUACCGGAACAAAUGGUGGAGCGGUGAAAUGCGUAGAUAUCAUUUGGAACGCCAAUGGUGAAAACAGGUAGCUGGGGGUGUGCUGACACUGAGACACGAAAGCCAGGGGAGCAAACGGG